CAGAACCCAAACCAGCAAAUGCCUAAAGCUGUUAAAUUUGAUGUGCCUGAAGAUGAUGACGAUGAUUUUACUGACGAUGAAUUAGAUGAUGAUUAUGACGAAGAUGAUGAAGAUUUCGAUGACGAUGAUGAGUUUGAUGAUGAAAUGGCUGAUUUACCACCUAAUAAGAUGAAACCCUCUAUGCCUAUGGGAAAUGGUGCUCACAUGAUGUUGAAUGGGAAUCAUCCACAGUUUAUGAAUGCCAUGAAGGGUGCCAAUUUUAAUGGCGGUGGUGGUGGUGGUGGAAACGGGAAGAAACCUGGUGGUGGUGGUGGUGGACCUGUGCCGGUUCAAAUUCAGGGUAUGGUUGGUGGUAAUGGAAAUGGAGGAAAGAAAGAAGGCGGCGGCGGUGGAGGUAACAAAAAUAAUGGUGGUAUNNNNNNNNNNNNNNNNNNNNNNNNNNNNNNNNNNNNNNNNNNNNNNNNNNNNNNNNNNNNNNNNNNNNNNNNNNNNNNNNNNNNNNNNNNNNNNNNNNNNNNNNNNNNNNNNNNNNNNNNNNNNNNNNNNNNNNNNNNNNGCUUACCGGCAGGAGGCGGUGGAUACUUUCAAGGUGGUGGUGGUGGUGGUAUGGGUCCAGAAAUGAUGCCAGGAAAUCCUUACCAACAACAACAACAGCAACAUCAGCAGCAGCAACAACAACAGUUAAUGGCUGCUGCAAUGAACCAACAACGGGCUGCGAUGGCGGGAGGAAAUGAUCAGAGAUUUCAGCAACCAAUGAUGUAUGCAAGGCCACCUCCAGCAGUGAAUUACAUGUAUCCUCCUCCUUACGCUUAUCCUCCUCCUCCAGAUCCUUACACACACUAUUUCAGUGAUGAAAAUACUUCCAGCUGCAAUAUCAUGUGAUGAUCUAAUUCAUCUCAACCAAGUGAAGGUUCAAACUAUAGUAUUUACCCUACUCUAAUUUUAUUAUGCAAUCAAUACCAAUGGAACAUGAGUUUUUUAUUUUCAUUUUUCUUUGCUUUGAUCCCCUUUUCAACUUAGGGGUUUCUAAUUACCUGUAGUUUAUAGAUAUCUUAUAAUAAUAUUACUAUUAUUAUUAUGUUCUUUGAGAGUAAGUAGUAAGUACUUCCUAUUUUAUUUUUUUUAUAUAUUAUAUGUGUUUAUAUUUUGGAAAUAGUAAUAAAAAUAUUUCAGAAAAAAAGUUAGCAAUAUUCUUGUUAUUGAGAAUGGAAUGAACAAAAUUCCCAAUUCUGUUUGCUCAUUUGAUAAACUCAUCCAAUUGUCUAUUUACUAAACAAUCAAUCACAUUGUUUGUGUUUGGGUGUCUAGUAUUAAAUUAUUGGCUUAUCUUAUUGUGUUAUGGCAUCUUACUAUAUCUUAUCUGUAUACAUUAUUUUGUGUCUCCCUUUGUUAUUUUGGGUUUGGACCCACCCAGUUGGAAUCUCUCUAUUUCUCAUAACAAAUGAAGUUGAUUUUAAUUUGGAUCUACUAUCCCAAAUCCAACCCAAACAGUGGUUUUCAAUCACAAUCUAGUAUUAAUCAGUGGUAUUUAUAUGUCGUUUUCUAAUUUUAAGGUUAUUAUGGCAUAUGCAUCUUCAUAACUAUCCUAUAAUUGUGUGGUUGACAUUGUAAUUGAUCAUAAUGUGUAGAAUUGAUGUUUCAUCCGAAGAAUUAUUGAUGUACAGUUAAUAUAUAUAGCAAUAUGUGUGUAGAAUAGAAUUGAAUUGUUGAUGAUAAUGGUGCGGAUAUGAUAUUAGCUGCAUAGUAACAGUUCACUCACUGUUGAACCAGCUGAGGCUCAACUAAAUGUAAUACUUACGUAACUGAACCAAAUCUUUAGCUGUACACCCAAAUCACCUGGGUUGGUUCUUUUUUUUUUUCUUAAAUGUUUUCAAGCUUUUUAGUGUAGUAUAUUUAGUUAUUGGGUCAUAAGUCUUCUAAAGUCAAAGGAGUUGUUUCUAUAAUUUGGUGUAUUAGUCCAACAAUCAAUAAAAAUAAGCCACAUACACCAAACUUUUAUUUAACAUGCAAUAUUUUUUGGCAGAUGCGUCAUGCCCCUAAAUUAUCGAGGGAUAAAUUAAAAAAAAAAACAAAGAGAAAAUAUUGAGCAUAAAUACAGAAGAUGAUCUAAUUUAAUUUUUUUUAUUCCACAAAAAUUUAGGUAUAGAUCUCAAAUAAUGUUGAUAAUGAGAUACUUUUUUUAUCAUCCACAACAGUGGUUUCAUGUUUUUGUGAGAGUUGAACUCAUAUGAAAUACAGUGUAUGAUCUAUUCUUUCCUAUAUAUUCAUUACAUAAUUAAUAUAUUUUUGUCUAUCAUAUAAUCAAAUACAUUAACUAUACAAUAAAUUAAAAAAAAAAUUACUUAGGGAAUGAGUAUUUCUUAGUACCUAUGGCUAUGCUAUUUUUUUUUUCAAUAUUAGUAAUUUUAUUAUUAAGUGAUUUCAACUCUCUUUUGAUCGCAAUUGCUGGUGAUCGAACUGUAAUACUUCUUACCUAUUUUAGCGUCAAUUAACACUAAACCAACGAUAUAACUAUGCUAUUUUUGUUUAUGAUUUGUUGAGGCACGCAAAGUAAUGUGGUAGUAAUUAAUUAAAGAAGGAAAAUGUUAAACAGAGCCCCCGGGACACUAGUUAAAUAUACAAAUAUAGAAGUUUUAUCUCGUAAAUUGUGCAUUCAAUGUUUUAAUUAUGUAAAAAGUUAUUCUCUCUCAUCAUUAACUUUAUUAUUUAUUUCAUUUUUUAGUAUGCUUAACUAGUUCCCCAGACGCACUAUUUAGCAUGACCCAUUAAAAGAAUGGUAUGCAUAAGUUUUGGAUUUUUAUAAUUAAAUAAUUGUACUAGUCUUUGUUUCAAUUUGAGGAAAUCAUGGAUGUGUGCGUGGUGGGGUGCACACCGAUGAAGUUGCGCAUGGACCCCAGCUAUAUAUAUCAAUCGGCCUAAUUAAUUAAUAUGCUCUUGUGACUAGUGGGGUUUAAUGGUGGGUCAUAUACAUCAUCACCGUCACUACAAUUGUGAUAAACACCAAAUUCUUCUGUCAGGAGUGAAUUUAUUUUACACAGUACUAGUACUAGUACUAAUCUUACAUCUUAUUUAAUAAUUAUGGUUACUGUUCCCACUAAGUAACUUAACUUUACAUCUAAAUUUCAACCUCUUGAAUAAAUCAUAGUACAAAUUGGAUAUAGUAGUUAGGUGGUGUAGUGUAGAAUAUUUAGGAUAUUCACAUGGGUUGACUGUUGAAUCUGAUAUGAUAUCAUCAUUCCUUGAGUGAGUACAUCAUAAUUCUUCACUAUGAUUCUUAUAUAAAGCUUUUAUUUAGAUAUUAUAUCUUUUUUGUCAUAUGAAUUAUAAGUUUAAAAUUCGAUCUUACCGAACAGAUUCAUGAUAUAAAUUAGUAUUUACUAUAAAUUUAUCUGCUAUAAAUUAAAUUAUCAAUUAUCCAUCAUUUUUUACCAAAUAGGCAUAUAUACAUGAAAUCUAAAUCUAUUAAGUAAGAAUAUACUUGGAUGAUCUAUGAUAUAAAUUUUCAAUAUAACAGUGAAUUCGGUAUUCGUUAUAAGUGGUGCAUCGUGGUGCACCGUGCACACCACUUGAUCAGCUCUUUCAUGUUAGCCUUCACCUAUGUUUUGUGUAUAUAUAUGGUUCGUAGGAAGAGGGGACGACCUGUCGAAUUCACAUCAGAAAUUGCCAGAACACAAAUGAAAUCUUGAAUUGCAUAUAGAAACAAAACGAACCAUUUAUGUCUCGGAGCUGAGGUAUAUGAAGAAUGGCUUUUUGGUCUCUUUCGUCCAAUGGUUAGGACAUCAAGUCUAUGGUCAAAUAUUUCAUCAAGUUUUCUACGCUACAUAAGUCACGAAUAUUAUUAUAACGAAUACGAAUUUUAUAAAAUUCAUCGUCGAAUUAAAACUUAAUAUCAUAUAGACCAUUCAUAAUUUUUCUUUUAAAAAAAUCAAAAAUCAUUUGAUAUGUUAUUGAGAUUUAUCAAAAUUAACGGUUGAUGAAUUUUUAUUGAAUACCGUUAAUCUGAAUCGUCCAAUCUAUCAAUACUUUCGAGAACUAAUUUGACAACGCGUCAUACUUAAUAAUUUUGAUAUUUUUAAGAGUUUAAUUGAUAUGCACUCACAGUGUAAAAUAGUUUUACACAAUCGUCCAAUAAAUCAUCAUUAUUUUAUCAUAUCGUAUCAAGAAAGUGAGGUAAAGUAGGGUAAUGUGGCGGAAACAUGAUUGAUAUUGGUUGACGGUGUAAACAAUUAAAUCCUAUUUUUAAAGCUGAGUUAAGAUCUGUGAAUGUGUGUGUGAAUAAUUGCAAAAUCCAGUACUUCAAUAAAUAAUUGCACCAAAACAAAGAUGAACUCUUGGAACACCGUUACUUUGCUUACCCCCAUUUUUCUCAACAAUGACUACUACAGUACUACUCAUCAUUCUCUCUGAACCUUUCUAGUUUUGUUUCAUGUCUCUGCUUUGAGACUUUAGAACCAUUUCUUCUACUUGUAAUUUCAUUCUAAAAAAGUAAAAAAUAAAAAAAGUCUACCAAACAAGAAACUACAUUUUUUUCCCCCUCAUUUCUUCUCUGUUUUCUCAGAUCUAAAAUCUCAGUUGCCCAGAUCUUUGUUUAUCACAAGUUACAUACUUUCCUUGUGUUAGUUGGUGGUUGUGUAUAAAAAAUGAGUAAAGAAGAAUUUUUGAAGAUACAGGUACUCCCAUCACAUUCUCAAUGUCUGUUUACUUUUGUGUUUUAUUUUGUUUUGUUUUGUUUUGUUUUAUCUCAUUUGAUUUUUAUUUUGCUUUUGUAUUCAGAAAUCUGUUCUUAAAGUAAACAUACACUGUGAUGGAUGCAAACAAAAAGUAAAGAAAAUCUUGCAGAAAAUUGAUGGUAUGCAAUGCAGCACUAUUAUGAUUUAUUUAUUUUUAUAUAGUUUCAAUUAUUAUUAUCCUAAGUAAAACAAAACAAAACCUUAAUUUUACCGACCUAGAAUUGAAUAUGUUGUUUUUGUUGAUUAAUGAAUGGCAGGGGUGUUUACAAUUGAGAUAGAUGCAGAACAAGGGAAGGUUACAGUUUCAGGAAAUGUGGACCCAAACAUUCUCAUCAAGAAGCUUGCAAAAUCAGGGAAACAUGCUGAGUUAUGGACUGUACCUAAACCAAACAACAACAACAAUAAUAAUAAUAAUAAUAAUAAUAAUAAUAAUAAUAAUAAUAAUAAUAAUAACAAUCAGAACAACCUUGUUAACCAGUUGAAGAACAUGCAGCAAAUUGACAAGGGAAAAACUAGUGGAGGAAACAACAACAACAAAGGACAGAAUCAAAAUCAGCAGAACCAGAAGGGUGGUGGUGGUGGUGGUGGAAACAAUAACCAACCCAAAGGUGGUGUUCCACAAGGACUAAAUCCACAGCAGCAACAGCAACUCCAACUUCAGCAACAGCUACAACAACUCCAACAGAUGAAAGGGUUUCAAGAUCUACCUCAAUUCAAGGGAAUGAAGAUGCCACCUAAUCAGAACCCAAACCAGCAAAUGCCUAAAGCUGUUAAAUUUGAUGUGCCUGAAGAUGACGAGGGUGAGUUUAGUGACGAUGAAUUAGAUGAUUAUGACGACGAAGAUGAUGAUGAAGAUUUUGAUGAUGAGUUUGAUGAUGAAAUGGUUGGUUUACCACCUAAUAAGAUGAAACCGUCUAUGCCUAUGGGGAAUGGUGCUCACAUGAUGUUGAAUGGGAAUCAUCAACAGCUUAUGAAUGCCAUGAAGGGUGCCAAU
Molecule: long non-coding RNA, 5724 nt
Filed under: Trifolium pratense (red clover)
Lineage: Eukaryota; Viridiplantae; Streptophyta; Magnoliopsida; Fabales; Fabaceae
Description: long non-coding RNA (TPRA_LNC001841)
Source: RNAcentral